Molecule: ribosomal RNA, 506 nt
Filed under: uncultured organism
Description: SSU rRNA
Rfam family: Bacterial small subunit ribosomal RNA
Source: RNAcentral
AGCUAGAGUUUGAUCCUGGCUCAGGAGAACGCUGGCGGCGUGCCUAACACAUGCAAGUCGAACGGGACUUAUUGGAAUGAGACUUCGGUCAAAGGAAAAUAAGUUUAGUGGCGGACGGGUGAGUAACGCGUGAGCAACCUGCCUUUCAGAGGGGGACAACAGUUGGAAACGACUGCUAAUACCGCAUAACGUACGAAGAAGGCAUCUUUUUUGUACCAAAGAUUUAUCGCUGAAAGAUGGGCUCGCGUCUGAUUAGAUAGUUGGCGGGGUAACGGCCCACCAAGUCGACGAUCAGUAGCCGGACUGAGAGGUUGAACGGCCACAUUGGGACUGAGAUACGGCCCAGACUCCUACGGGAGGCAGCAGUGGGGAAUAUUGGUCAAUGGGGGCAACCCUGAACCAGCAACGCCGCGUGAAGGAAGAAGGCUUUCGGGUUGUAAACUUCUUUUGCCGGGGACGAAACAAAUGACGGUACCCGGCGAAUAAGCCACGGCUAACUACGUGCC